This 265-nucleotide long non-coding RNA is filed under the name Vombatus ursinus (common wombat). RNAcentral's name for it is "lncRNA (ENSVURG00010023962.1)". Lineage: Eukaryota; Metazoa; Chordata; Mammalia; Diprotodontia; Vombatidae. The record is from RNAcentral.
AAAUCCAGACACUUCCGCCACCCAGCGUGCCACCCAUUCUGAGACCUGGCAAAGAACAACAAGCGGGGUGAAAAAUCGACCACUGACAGCUAUUGCAGAGGACAGCUACUGCAUGGGAGAGAAAGAAAUCAGGGAAAGCUGACCGAGUUCGUGUGCAGGCAUCUGUAACUGGAGCAUCUCACUGGGUUGCUCUUUCUCUACAGAGAGUUGUGCAUGUCCAUUAGAAAGCUGCUGAGUGGAAACCUUAUUCCCCAGGACUUCAAAC